RNAcentral lists this ribosomal RNA (465 nucleotides) under Vreelandella stevensii. Its description in RNAcentral is "partial 16S ribosomal RNA". It matches the Rfam family "Bacterial small subunit ribosomal RNA", at positions 338 to 795 of the family's 1533-position model. Lineage: Bacteria; Pseudomonadati; Pseudomonadota; Gammaproteobacteria; Oceanospirillales; Halomonadaceae. The record is from RNAcentral.
CCUACGGGGGGCUGCAGUGGGGAAUAUUGGACAAUGGGCGAAAGCCUGAUCCAGCCAUGCCGCGUGUGUGAAGAAGGCCUUCGGGUUGUAAAGCACUUUCAGUGGGGAAGAAAGCCUUGGGGCUAAUACCCUCGAGGAAGGACAUCACCCACAGAAGAAGCACCGGCUAACUCCGUGCCAGCAGCCGCGGUAAUACGGAGGGUGCGAGCGUUAAUCGGAAUUACUGGGCGUAAAGCGCGCGUAGGCGGUCUGAUAAGCCGGUUGUGAAAGCCCCGGGCUCAACCUGGGAACGGCAUCCGGAACUGUCAGGCUAGAGUGCAGGAGAGGGAGGUAGAAUUCCCGGUGUAGCGGUGAAAUGCGUAGAGAUCGGGAGGAAUACCAGUGGCGAAGGCGGCCUUCUGGAAUGACACUGACGCUGAGGUGCGAAAGCGUGGGUAGCAAACAGGAUUAGAUACCCUAGUAGUC